CCUACGGGCGGCAGCAGUGGGGGAUAUUGGACAAUGGGGGGAACCCUGAUCCAGCGACGCCGCGUGAGUGAAUAAGUAUUUCGGUAUGUAAAGCUCUGUCAGCAGGGAAGAAAGAAAUGACGGUACCUGACCAAGAAGCCCCGGCUAACUACGUGCCAGCAGCCGCGGUAAUACGUAGGGGGCAAGCGUUAUCCGGAAUUACUGGGUGUAAAGGGAGGGUAGACGGUUAAGUAAGUCUGGAGGGAAAGUCCGGGGCCCAACCCCGGGACUGCUCUGGAAACUAUUGAACUUGAGUGCAGGAGAGGAAAGCGGAAUUCCUAGUGUAGCGGUGAAAUGCGUAGAUAUUAGGAGGAACACCAGUGGCGAAGGCGGCUUACUGGACUGCAACUGACGUUGAGGCACGAAAGCGUGGGGAGCGAACAGGAUUAGAUACCCGAGUAGUC
This 443-nucleotide ribosomal RNA is filed under the name uncultured bacterium. RNAcentral's name for it is "partial 16S ribosomal RNA". It matches the Rfam family "Bacterial small subunit ribosomal RNA", at positions 338 to 795 of the family's 1533-position model. The record is from RNAcentral.